Molecule: ribosomal RNA, 497 nt
Filed under: uncultured bacterium
Lineage: Bacteria
Description: partial 16S ribosomal RNA
Rfam family: Bacterial small subunit ribosomal RNA
Source: RNAcentral
GAUGAACGCUGGCGGCGUGCCUAAUACAUGCAAGUAGAACGCUGAAGGAAGGAGCUUGCUCUUUCCGGAUGAGUUGCGAACGGGUGAGUAACGCGUAGGUAACCUGCCUGGUAGCGGGGGAUAACUAUUGGAAACGAUAGCUAAUACCGCAUAACAGUAGAUGUUGCAUGAUCUCUACUUAAAAGGUGCAAUUGCACCACUACCAGAUGGACCUGCGUUGUAUUAGCUAGUUGGUGAGGUAACGGCUCACCAAGGCGACGAUACAUAGCCGACCUGAGAGGGUGAUCGGCCACACUGGGACUGAGACACGGCCCAGACUCCUACGGGAGGCAGCAGUAGGGAAUCUUCGGCAAUGGACGGAAGUCUGACCGAGCAACGCCGCGUGAGUGAAGAAGGGUUUCGGAUCGUAAAGCUCUGUUGUAAGAGAAGAACGAGUGUGAGAGUGGAAAGUUCACACUGUGACGGUAUCUUACCAGAAAGGGACGGCUAACUACGUG